GCCCAUGUAGCUCAGUUGGUAGAGCGCAUCCUUGGUAAGGAUGAGGUCAGCAGUUCGACUCUGCUCAUGGGCUCCA
RNAcentral lists this transfer RNA (76 nucleotides) under Lentisphaerota bacterium. Its description in RNAcentral is "Lentisphaerae bacterium (anaerobic digester metagenome) tRNA-Thr". It matches the Rfam family "tRNA". From Rfam's summary of the family: Transfer RNA (tRNA) molecules are approximately 80 nucleotides in length. The record is from RNAcentral. Lineage: Bacteria; Pseudomonadati; Lentisphaerota. RNAcentral also lists the same sequence under 1 other name.